GUGCCAGCCGCCGCGGUAAUACGGAGGGUGCAAGCGUUAAUCGGAAUUACUGGGCGUAAAGCGCGCGUAGGUGGUUUGAUAAGCGAGAUGUGAAAGCCCCGGGCUUAACCUGGGAACGGCAUUUCGAACUGUCAGGCUAGAGUGUGGUAGAGGGUAGUGGAAUUUCCUGUGUAGCGGUGAAAUGCGUAGAUAUAGGAAGGAACACCAGUGGCGAAGGCGGCUACCUGGACCAACACUGACACUGAGGUGCGAAAGCGUGGGGAGCAAACAGGAUUAGAUACCCCAG
This 286-nucleotide ribosomal RNA is filed under the name uncultured Marinobacter sp. RNAcentral's name for it is "partial 16S ribosomal RNA". It matches the Rfam family "Bacterial small subunit ribosomal RNA", at positions 505 to 790 of the family's 1533-position model. Lineage: Bacteria; Pseudomonadati; Pseudomonadota; Gammaproteobacteria; Pseudomonadales; Marinobacteraceae. The record is from RNAcentral.